Hippoglossus stenolepis (Pacific halibut) is the source of this 265-nucleotide long non-coding RNA. RefSeq lists it as uncharacterized. The record is from RefSeq and is a predicted model, not a curated record. The transcript is spliced from 2 exons. Lineage: Eukaryota; Metazoa; Chordata; Actinopteri; Pleuronectiformes; Pleuronectidae.
GAGGUCACGCCCGUGACACCAGCAGUAACCGUGGAGAAACAGCCAAGGGGAAGGGAUGUUGUGUUCUUGUUGGACGGAUCUGAUGGUACUAGAACUGGAUUCCCAGCUAUGAGAGACUUUGUCCAAAGAGUAGUAGAGACACUCAGUGUGGAUGACAACAAAGACCGUGUCUCAGUGGUUCAGUACAGCAGAGAUCCAGCCGUCCAGUUCUAUCUGAACACAUACACGACAAAGGGCCAGAUCCUUGACACCCUCAGAGGUUUGA